UUUGCCAAUUCACACACAUAUCAAUAUUGACAAACACAAUACAUCAUUGUGAAUUAAUUACAAAUUUUACAUAUAAAACAUAAUUGGGAAUAUUCAAAUGUAUCAUACAAACCAUACAUUUACCAUCUACAAACCUUCACCGUGUAUUUGUUAAACCCGUCAUACAACAAAAAAUGAAAUACACUUGGGGAAAUAAAGUUACAACAUGAGAAAGACAUACAAUUCAAACAAUGAAGAUGUAGAUUUCAGUUGAUUCCUACUUCAAAUCAUCAAGUAAAUCUGUAGACGUCGAAAGAAACCAUCAAAUUCAAAACCAACAAAUAUAAGGAUGUUAGACUUAUUAAGCUUUUCAGCUUAUUGGCUACAAUUACAUAUAAAAGUAAAAAGUAAGAAGUAAUAAGUGUUAUCUUGUAAUUCAUGUUGAUUUCAUGGAUUGUAAGGUAAUACUUUGUGUAGAUUGUUUAGUCUUAUAAAGCCAAAGCAUAAGCAUCCAACAAAGGGUUGUACCUUAUGCAUAUUAGUAAUUAAGUAUGUAAAACCUUGUAGAAAUGCCAUGUGUUUCCAUACAUUACUCCAAUGUAAAACAUUGACAUCAUCAAAUUUAGUAUAAAUCAAGAUGUAUGAUGAAAACAAAUAGUAUGCAAGCCAUAUAAGUUUGUACUUAAAACCCAAUUAAUAUUUUAAUAAAGUCUUACCAUGUUUGUUAUUUUAAAAAAAAAAUCAUAGUUUAAUUGAAAAAUUGUUAACUUUAUACACAAAAGGUGAGAGCUUUCAGCCAAGAAGUGUAAAAGCCACCAAAGUUUGAGACACGACCAAACCUUACUAUAAGAUUGAUUGUAUGAACAGAUUAUACAUACUCCCCUGAGAUGUUGGUAACAUUAUAACCAACCAGUAAUAAUUGCAAUUUAAAUAAAGAAUGGUGCUAAAUGUGAUCCUAUAAUUUAUUCAAAAACUUAAGAAGCACAGAAAUAUCAAAUAGUGUAAGGCUCCAUAACACCUUCAAUAAAAUUAGGAUUUUGAUUAAUCUUGAACACUUUGCAAGAAAUUUUAUACAGGUAUGAGUUGUAUCUGUACAAACAUUGAACCCCAGCCCAAAUAAAGAAUAUUAGACUUGAUAUAGAAGGUAGAUUGGUAAAAAUGCAUCUCGUUCUCACCUCCUUUUCACAUGAAGAAUCCAAUAAGUACAAAAUCCAAUUUUUUUAAAGAGAUGCAACAUAUAAGAGCUGUGAGAAAGAAUGAAGCUACUUACUUUAAGAAAAUUAUGUUUACAUGUGUGUUUGUGUGUUAAUGUAUACUAAUUUAAAAUAAAAAUACUUAUAUGAGCGACAAAUAAGCAGAGAAAGAGAAUAAGGGGAAGAUAAACCUGACAAUUCGUUAAACCACUAUUAGUUUGCCUUUAUCCAGCAACCGCCAAAACCCUAGAAAUAAAUAUUAAUGCACAAUCAUGCUAAGAUAAACAUGAAUUACAAGAAACUUAUUAACACAUAAAAAUUAUAAUGUAUUUGUAGAAAAUGAACUUUUCUCGUAUCUAAAAGAGGUUACUGCUGGUGGGAUGUUCGGUGGUGGUGAGUAGUGGCCUUAGGGUUUCAAGCCGUCGGGAUCUUUUAAUUUUCCAGAUCAACACUAUCAACAACACAAAUCUAUUUUCCUGGCUAUAGAAUGAAAACUUGUAGGCGUGUGUGUGUUGUUGAAGGCAAAAAGAGAUGUUGAUGAUGAGACCCAAAGACAGAGGGGGUUUACAAAGUUUUUUUGAAGUGGGGUGAUUGGAGAACAUUGAGGGGUCUGAAGGUGGUCGGUGUCGUGUAACUGAUCGUGGUAUUGGUCUACCAUGGUAAGUAGUAAAGGUUAUAGUGGUGGUAAAGGUUGUCGGUAACGUAUGAGAGAAGGAGGAGGGCUAUGGAUUUUUUUUGAGAUACCGAUUUUCG
This 1925-nucleotide long non-coding RNA is filed under the name Lactuca sativa (garden lettuce). Its description in RNAcentral is "long non-coding RNA (LSAT_LNC002947)". Lineage: Eukaryota; Viridiplantae; Streptophyta; Magnoliopsida; Asterales; Asteraceae. The record is from RNAcentral.